This 1763-nucleotide long non-coding RNA is filed under the name Homo sapiens (human). RNAcentral describes it as "HSALNT0177596". The record is from RNAcentral. Lineage: Eukaryota; Metazoa; Chordata; Mammalia; Primates; Hominidae.
AAAAAAUAUAAAAUAUGGUUAAAAAAUUCUCCUACUUAAGACUCCCAGACCCCUAGUUUUCCUCCCUAAAGGCAACUGACAUUACCAGUUUCCUGGGUAUCCAUGCAGGGAUAUUUUAUGCAUAAACAACCAAAUCUCUAUACAUGUCCAUAGAGAGAGGCAGACGUAUCUGCAUGUGCAUAAACACUCGUGUGUGUGUCCUUUUAUCCCAAAGGAAACACUUCUUUUUCCCUUGACAAAGGACAUCCUCUGCAUCUAGCUUCUAGAAAGUGCUGCCAAUUUGGGGACCAAGGGAGGGAGGCUGCAGAGGAACAUCGUUUGGUCAAAUGUGAAAUGUGAUCAGGAAGCCGGUGCUCAGCAAACUUAUCUGAAGCUCUUGGGGACCCCACAAAGAUGAGCGGGUCCCCUUCCCAAUUUUCGGACCGUCUUGGCAGAGGCUCCCUGUCAUCAAGGACCUGAGGUUGUCACAGCCGGAUGGUGUGGGAGCUGGCACUGCCGGGGCUCCCGCUGCCUGGGACACGUACGGCUGCCCAGUGAUCCUGAGCGCCGACCCCUGAGCACCUCAGUGUCCGUGACUGUGGAGCGGAGCAGGGAAGGGGCUCUGGAAGGGUCUGAAUCUGGUGUGUCCAGUGUGAUCCCUGCACCCAUGCCCGGAGCUGUGCCUGGGACCCUGCCCCAAGCAAAGUAAUAAUCUGAAUGAUAUCCUCAAAGGAGCCUGGCUUGGGCUAACAAGGAAGAACUUCCAACGUGGAGAGCUGUCCUGGCACCAUUUCUUCCUGCUGUAUUAGUUGAAGACCUACUGUGUUCAGGGCCGUGAGCCAGGGCACAACCACCCCUUGGGAGCACACUCUGCCUCAACCCUGGAGUGGCUCCGAAAUGAGUCUUCAGUCCACAAGACUGAGGGUUGCCAAUCCUUCUCGGGCAUCUUGAAGCAGACCAGCCACGUUGCAAGUGCUUGGAGGCCACGGAUGACUGGUGGCUGCUGUUCUGGGAGACAGAAUCCUAUAGCAUCCCCAGUCCUGCAGCACACAGGUGGGACAAUUCCAGCUUGAUGUCUCAGCCAGCGGGUUCCCACGUCCUCCCCGCCUCUCCCAGGCAGAAGACAGAGUGACCCAGUGGGCAGCUUACACAGGGACAGAAACCACACUGACUGUCGUUCCUGCCACCUGACUAUUGUCCUGUGGCCCAGGGCUGCCCAGAGCCCCUUCCUGCCCAAGUGGCAGCUGGCCCGCUGGAUCUGCAGGUGGGUCUUGGGGACACUUCUCAUCAGCUCAGCCACGCCGCCCGGGCAGCUCCUCAUGAAAGGCCUGCCUUGUGCGCCUGGGUGUGCCCAGGCCGCCGACGUCACCCGAAGCCCCUUCUCAUAAAUUCCAGCUCCGAGGUUUGCAGUUAUCGGGAGGAAGUUUCCAAUUGCUGGCUCACAUGUGGGAAAAUAUGAAAACAAGGCCAUAAAAAAGGAACUCCUACUAAUGAAACCUCCUAGAUUCCAAGGAGGAAAACGUAGCUCUCAGACCAAGUCCGUUUUCGCCCUUGCAUCUGAAAGGGAGUCCAGGGAAUUGCUAAUUUUGAACUUUCUAUACACCCUUCCUGCCUCUGGAUGUGGCCGCCUGACUCGAAUUCCUUUGCACAAUAAAAUGAGGGGGAAAAAAAUCACAUCACUUCAGCAAAACACAGGCUCGAUUUUUCUUGAUUAGCGGAAAAGUGUGUGCUAUUUAAAAAGACACGUCAUAUAACUUUUUAUUUUUUAGCAUUCCCAAGCAAAA